AAUGAACGUUGGCGGCGUGGAUUAGGCAUGCAAGUCGAUCGUCCCGCAAGGGACGAGGCGCAAGGGUGAGUAAGGCGACGGUAACCAACCUCGAGGGUGGGGAUAACCGCGGGAAACUGCGGAUAAUACCCAGCGAUGUCGGAGGGGGGCAUCCCCCACCGACCAAAGGUGCGAUAUUCGCCUCGAGACGGGCCGUUGUGGUAUCAGGUUGUUGGCGGGGUAACGGCCCACCAAGCCUGGGACGCCUACCGGGCGUGCGAGCGUGGCCCGGCACACUGGGACUGAGACACUGCCCAGACACCUACGGGUGGCUGCAGUCGAGAAUCUUCGGCAAUGGGCGAAAGCCUGACCGAGCGACGCCGCGUGGAGGACGAAGGCCUUCGGGUUGUAAACUCCUGUCGAGGGGGAACAAGGGCCGGUGGAGAGCCGGACUUGAGUGAUCCCUGGAGGAAGCACGGGCUAAGUUCGUGCCAGCAGCCGCGGUAAGACGAACCGUGCGAACGUUAUUCGGAAUCACUGGGCUUAAAGCGCGUGUAGGCGGGUCGGCACGUCGGCCGCUGAAA
This 563-nucleotide ribosomal RNA is filed under the name uncultured bacterium. RNAcentral's name for it is "bacterial SSU rRNA". It matches the Rfam family "Bacterial small subunit ribosomal RNA", at positions 28 to 600 of the family's 1533-position model. The record is from RNAcentral.